UAUGCCCUUUAGAUAAAUUUGAAACAUAGUCCCUUUUUCUAUUUCUCUCCCUAGCUAGCUCGAUCCUUGCUCUAACAUUUUCCCCGGAAUACUUCCCCUGAAUCCUCCUCUUAGCAGAUAAACUAAUUUUUUUUGAAGGAAAUAUUUCCUGAGGAAAAUUGGUAACGACUAUCGGAGGCGGCGUUCUUUGGCGCUUUUUAGAAGAUGGAAGUUCUUCUUCAUAAUCUUUCAAAUCACGUUUUAAUGAGUAAGAACCAGAGGAAGCUCGUACGCCGUUGCCGAACAUGGAUUGAGAAGGAUGAGAGUUUACGGGUUCACUAAAUAUUCGUUUAGGCUGAAGGCUUAAAUCAGAAAGUUCACCAUUUGUUCGAGGACGCCGGGUUUUAAUAAACGAUUCUUUGUUGCUUAACUUGCUUUUAACGUUAAACAUAUGAUUGUUUUCAGCCAAGAUUUUCUCAGACUCCACAGAAUUGGCAUUGGAAUUGAGAAAAGAGCGACGAUGACUUAUAAAUUCCUGAAUCUGCUUCAAGCGU
Molecule: non-coding RNA, 533 nt
Organism: Schizosaccharomyces pombe (fission yeast)
Lineage: Eukaryota; Fungi; Ascomycota; Schizosaccharomycetes; Schizosaccharomycetales; Schizosaccharomycetaceae
Source: the annotation of a GenBank genome assembly